This 447-nucleotide ribosomal RNA is filed under the name uncultured Chloroflexota bacterium. Its description in RNAcentral is "bacterial SSU rRNA". It matches the Rfam family "Bacterial small subunit ribosomal RNA", at positions 923 to 1382 of the family's 1533-position model. Lineage: Bacteria; Bacillati; Chloroflexota. The record is from RNAcentral.
GCACAAGCAGCGGAGCGUGUGGUUAAUUCGAUGCAACGCGAAGAACCUUACCAAGGCUUGACAUGCCAGAAGUAGGAACUCGAAAGAGAGACCACCUGUAUCCAGUCAGGAACUGGCACAGGUGCUGCAUGGCUGUCGUCAGCUCGUGCCGUGAGGUGUUAGGUUAAGUCCUGCAACGAGCGCAACCCUCGUCGCUAGUUAAAUUUUCUAGCGAUACUGCCCGUAAAACGAGGAGGAAGGUGGGGAUGACGUCAAGUCAGCAUGGCCCUUACGCCUUGGGCUACACACACGCUACAAUGGGUGAUACAACGGGUUGCGAGAGAGCGAUCUGGAGCUAAUCCCUAAAAUCAUCCUCAGUUCGGAUUGCAGGCUGAAACUGCCUGCAUGAAGUUGGAGUUGCCAGUAACCGCAGGUCAGCACACUGCGGUGAAUACGUUCCCGGGCCUU